This 402-nucleotide ribosomal RNA is filed under the name bacterium. Its description in RNAcentral is "partial 16S ribosomal RNA". It matches the Rfam family "Bacterial small subunit ribosomal RNA", at positions 355 to 776 of the family's 1533-position model. The record is from RNAcentral.
UGGGGAAUUUUGCACAAUGGGGGAAACCCUGAUGCAGCGACGCCGCGUGAUUAAGAAGGCCUUCGGGUUGUAAAAAUCUUUUCUAUGGGAAGAAAAUGACAGUACCAUAGGAAUAAGGACCGGCUACUUACGUGCCAGCAGCCGCGGUAAUACGUAAGGUCCGAGCGUUGUCCGGAAUCAUUGGGCGUAAAGGGUACGUAGGCGGGUAAGCAAGUUAGAAGUGAAAUCCUAUAGCUCAACUAUAGUAAGCUUUUAAAACUGCUCAUCUUGAGGUAUGGAAGGGAAAGUGGAAUUCCUAGUGUAGCGGUGAAAUGCGCAGAUAUUAGGAGGAAUACCGGUGGCGAAGGCGACUUUCUGGCCAUAACCUGACGCUGAGGUACGAAAGCGUGGGUAGCAAACAGG